CAUUAGCUUAAACCACAACAUAAUGCACAAAAUGUCUGGAAUCAGCUCACUCGGAAGAUAUAUAAUAGCACAACUUAAUGCAAAUUCCCCAGUGGGUGUUGCGAUCUUUGGCAAAUUUGUUUUCAUCCUCAAAAGAAACCUGUGACUCUGGUGGGACUCGAACCCACAACCUUUGAAUCACUUCACUACGCUAGAAGUCCAAUGCGCUAUCCAUUGCGCCACAGAGCCGUGCGUUAGGUUCCCUCGUCUGCUUUAAAGGACACUUUUAUGUUACCUAAACAGUGGCAUCCAUAUGCCGGAAGUUUUCUUGGGGAGUUAUAAAACAGUUGCCUAAGGUUGGAAAUUGCAGCUCCAUCUGGGGCGGAGAGCAAGAAGAAAAAGAGUUUAAAUGACUGAGGCGGGGGAGUUUAAAGCGGUCUAGCAAACAAAAGCUCCUUCUCUUACCAGAAGUGGGGUUCGAACCCACGCAGACAUAUGUCUAUUGGAUCUUAAGUCCAACGCCUUAACCACUCGGCCAUUCUGGUAAUUAUAGUGAAUUUUAAAAACACCAUGGAAUAAGCUGAGUAACUUCAGCCUUUUGACGCGCGAUACACCCGCCCCCCCUCCCCGCUGGACGAAGAGCGCCUCCAUUCAACAAGCUGCAUCGAGUAGUAGCAGAAGUUCAAAACCCAUCUCCUAGCUACCCUGCCUGCCAGGAUUAGUGCGUACGACAGAGUACUACUGGAAGGGGCACGUUUCACACGAACAAAUGUAGAUGCGUGCUCUCCGUCUCCACUCGAAACAUUAGUGCCAUUCUCAAACGAGGCCGCAAGGUGGCAGCACAACGAGCUGCGUCAAAGGCAGCAGCGCGCUGCGGGCGAUGCUUCCUGAGCAGAACUUUUAUCAGAAGCGAAGACAAAAAACAUUGGGAAGAGAGCUGGCAUCAUCCAAGUUCGAGGACCGAUUCCAGCCAGGCAAAAAACACUCAAGGAAGUUGUGAAGGUAAGGGAGUAGUGUGGACUGGGGAAGAGUGCUAGGGAGGGUGACUUCGAAAGUCCUGAGGCCAGUGACAAAGGCCUGACGUCCCACAUCCCUAAGCUAGAAAGACACUCCAUUUGUCAUCCCUGACAUGCCAUGGAAUCAGUCACAACUGAAACAAGCACUGCAAGCUUGCUUUCUAGGUAUACUCAGUUUAAAAGCCUACUUUACCCUUAUCCAGUCUAGAGUCCUAGCUUAGGGAAACAUAAAUGGUGAUCAUCCCCAGUCUUUUCUCCACAGUCACUGAUACUGACACACAGCACUGGGACUGAAGGAAUCCCAAGUCAAGUGAGAUUGUUGGCAGGGUUCAACAUUUAGCAGAAAGCAGGCGCUGUCUGUCUAGUAAGCAAACAAGGAUUUUCUUGCCCCUGCAAAAAACAGGACACACGCCUGGUGAACCUUAGAGAUUUCAGAAGAGCCUCGUCAGAACAAAGGCCAAAUGAA
Molecule: long non-coding RNA, 1461 nt
Organism: Podarcis raffonei (Aeolian wall lizard)
Lineage: Eukaryota; Metazoa; Chordata; Lepidosauria; Squamata; Lacertidae
Exons: 3
Source: RefSeq, a predicted model, not a curated record